RNAcentral lists this ribosomal RNA (466 nucleotides) under uncultured bacterium. RNAcentral's name for it is "partial 16S ribosomal RNA". It matches the Rfam family "Bacterial small subunit ribosomal RNA", at positions 28 to 507 of the family's 1533-position model. The record is from RNAcentral.
GACGAACGCUGGCGGCGCGCCUAACACAUGCAAGUCGAACGAGCGAGAGAGAGCUUGCUUUCUUGAGCGAGUGGCGAACGGGUGAGUAACGCGUGAGGAACCUGCCUCAAAGAGGGGGACAACAGUUGGAAACGACUGCUAAUACCGCAUAAGCCCACGACCCGGCAUCGGGUGGAGGGAAAAGGAGCAAUCCGCUUUGAGAUGGCCUCGCGUCCGAUUAGCUAGUUGGUGAGGUAACGGCCCACCAAGGCGACGAUCGGUAGCCGGACUGAGAGGUUGAACGGCCACAUUGGGACUGAGACACGGCCCAGACUCCUACGGGAGGCAGCAGUGGGGAAUAUUGCACAAUGGGGGAAACCCUGAUGCAGCGACGCCGCGUGGAGGAAGAAGGUCUUCGGAUUGUAAACUCCUGUUGUUGAGGAAGAUAAUGACGGUACUCAACAAGGAAGUGACGGCUAACUACGUG